Molecule: transfer RNA, 73 nt
Filed under: Bos taurus (domestic cattle)
Lineage: Eukaryota; Metazoa; Chordata; Mammalia; Artiodactyla; Bovidae
Also listed under: 3 other names
Rfam family: tRNA
About the family: Transfer RNA (tRNA) molecules are approximately 80 nucleotides in length. Their secondary structure includes four short double-helical elements and three loops (D, anti-codon, and T loops). Further hydrogen bonds mediate the characteristic L-shaped molecular structure. tRNAs have two regions of fundamental functional importance: the anti-codon, which is responsible for specific mRNA codon recognition, and the 3' end, to which the tRNAs corresponding amino acid is attached (by aminoacyl-tRNA synthetases). tRNAs cope with the degeneracy of the genetic code in two manners: having more than one tRNA (with a specific anti-codon) for a particular amino acid; and 'wobble' base-pairing, i.e. permitting non-standard base-pairing at the 3rd anti-codon position.
Source: Rfam by way of RNAcentral
UCCCUGGUGGUCCAGUGGUUGGGAUGCCACUCUUUCACUGCUGAGGGUGCAGGUUCAAUCCCUGGUUGGGGAA